AUUUCAACAACAGCUGAACGUGCCUAUGUUAGUUCGCAGCCUACCUUGGUCCGGGUGAAUGAAACAGGGAUGGGGGACAAAAUAAACAUGCAGUUUGCUAUGUAAACAUCCCACAACUCCUUUGAUAUUUUACAAUAAUAUCCAAAUGGUCGUUACUUGACAUCAGAAGCAAUCGCUACCUGCCUAUGCGAGGAGUCGGCAGCAGGCCUAUGCAUUCAUAUCAGACGAGCGGAGUUCAGAAAAUGUAGCUGCUGUUGGACUUACAUUUCUGACAUGCUGCCAAUUCGCGGGGUAGACAUGGAAAUAUGUAAAAUGCGAUACAUUCGCGCAAAUAAUGAUGUGCUGUUAACAUUCACAAAACAGCGAUUUUUUGAAAACUUCCUCGUGAAGAACAGGACCUUCAAUAUAUGGUCACAAGAUUGAAUGCAACAUAAAACAAUUACCAUUUUAAUUUUAUAAUCCUUAUUAAUGCCAACACUUCAUGUCAAUGAAUCUCUCGGUGUGGUAUUUUUCCGGUGUGAGCGGUGUAUGUUGGGUAUUUCUCUUACCCCUCGGUUUCAAGUAAGCUCCCGAUCUUACUUGGUUUUAAGGGGUAUCUACCCUUGCCCUUAUCCCUACCCCUCGAUCGAAAUGAGAAUUGAGAUAGCCCUUCGUCUCACGUGCACGCGCAAAACUAAGGGGAAGGGGAAGGGGUAAAAUAGAGAAUUGAGAUGGGCCCUAAGCCCAGCCCCGAUCUGCAAGCUGCAGCCAGGCCUACUUGCUUUUUUGUAGGUGAGAUGGAGCAGCAUCAGACUCUGAGUAGAAUUGAAUAGGCUUAUGACGACGUCAGACUAGCAAUGCAGUAGAGAGGAGACAGAUUCAGCAGUUAUACCUUCUGUGUUAACAACAACUGCUACUCAACUAGGUCGAGUCCUAUUUGGACUUAAUCAACUAUCCGUAGACAAGUUUUAAAACUAUACUUCACACAAAACGUUCAAACAAAUCCACUGUAGCCUGCGUGUACCAUAGGAAAACAUUUAGGCCUACAUCUUCCGAUUUUUACCAUGGGAUUAAGGGAAAUAGAAAGUGAAACGAUGGUCUGCCAUGAUUGAUGUUUUCAUAAACCAAUUGGAUUUUAGAGUAGGCCUAGCAGACAAACACGUGAGCAGCGUCUUCCGACUUUAUCCCACGCCCCCAAAAUGUCGUCGUUAUACAAUGCGCAUACACUUUCGUUUUUUUGCGUGUUAGGCUAAGUUUUGCUUUCUUUUCGGCGUAAUGGACGUUCAUUGGCACUAAAUGGUAAGAAAAGACCCUGUGUACAGUGGACCUAACUGACAGUGAACUAGACUUGGCAACUGAUUGAUACUUCGACCAUUUAGGUGGAGGUUGCAUCAACAUGGAAGUAACCGUAGCGCUGACGUAGCGCGCUAGUUUGGCUACAGUGUUUACAUUUUUUUCGAACAUUAUGUUUAAUAUCUUUAUAUAAGCACACCAGUCUCUCAAAGACAGAAAUUAGCAAAUACAUCCAAAGAACGAUAUACUUGUAUAAAAACAAGAACAUGUACAAUUCCACAUUUCAGUCUCGUCUGUCUGGUUUUUCUAGAUAGGCAGCAUAAAUUGGCUAUAAAACGUGUUUCGCAGUCGAUUACACGCACGUUGAUUUAUAUGCUAUCGUUUCGUAGUUAGGCCUAUUGUUAGACACUGGGCCGAGUUUACCAAAGGAAAUGGUUGAUGUUUUGAAAAUAUAAUUCUACACCGAACAUGGAAUUCGAUGUAGUCUUCCAAGUGGACUUUGCUGUGUCUCGCAUGUUCUAGAAACAAUGGCCCGAUGUCCUGUAAAGCAGUAAAGUCCCUAUAGCCACAGCGACACGUUCCAUCAUCUACGUUGGAAGUCCAAUAUACCAAGCCAACAUGCCGGUGGAUAGGAUGCGAAUGCGCCCCUGGCUUGAAGAACAGAUCAACAGCGGUUCAGUAAAGGGGCUCAUGUGGAUUAAUAAGCAAAAGAAGAUUUUCCAAAUUCCAUGGAUGCAUGCUGCACGCCACGGAUGGGAUCUUGAUAAAGAUGCACCCUUGUUUAUGAACUGGGCAAUCCACACAGGGAAAUACCAUCCAGGAGUUGACCAGCCUGAUCCAAAGACAUGGAAGGCUAACUUCCGUUGUGCAAUGAAUUCUCUUCCUGACAUUGAAGAAGUGAAGGACAAGAGUAUUAAGAAAGGCAACAAUGCAUUCAAAGUUUACAGGAUGUUAUCGGCUGCUGAGCGGGCUGUGAUUAAAGAAAAAAAGAAGAUGGAGAAGAGACAAAAUAAAGCAAAAAAGCAUAACUCUGGUGACGAUGGCAGCUCUAAGGGAUCUGACGAACCAGUUGCUGAGGAGGAAGACCAGGUGGAGCAUGAGGCUGAUAGCACAGUUACCAUAGACAAUGUGGAUUCUGCUGAGGACCAGUUGGUGAUAAGUGAAAUGUCUGAUGUGUGUGCUGUGGUGGAGGUGACCACUGAGCAUGAGGGAGUUUUGGACAGCCAGGUGUCUACUGAGAGAGAGGUGCCACCAGUCACCUCAAGCUCUGUUUACCCUCGUUUGCAAGUCUCUCCAAUUUCAUCUUGUGGAGAGAGUGAUGCUGAAAGUGAAUACAGCGAUGAAGAUUCCAAGGAGGAAUGGGACAUGCGGUGCCUCUCAGAAGCCCAGAUGACCUGCUCUGUCCUGAAAUUCCCGUCCUGUAAACCCCCCAGCAAGUCUACCUUUUUCAACUCAGAGAAAACCAACUUUAAGGUGACCAGUUGCCAGGAGGAGUCCCCCAUGAUUGCCUACAACGUUCGUCCCUGGUGGAAACCUCACCUUACAACUAGGCCUAUGCCCACUAGAGUGUACCCUGGCCCAAGAGCCAACCCUCGAUAUAGCUCCCAUAUGCGUCCCCAGACCAGUCCUUUUCAGCGUCCUGAAAACAUUCCAAAUGCGACUUCUGAAAUUGAUCUCCCUCUGCGUUCCCACAGAAGUACCCUGCUGCCUACCCAAACCAGUAUCAAUAUUUGUGCCCAAACUAUUUCUCACAUGUUUCCUCAGAGGAGUCCACAUGUGCCUGUCCAAACCAGUCCACGCUUGCGGCCACAAACUAGUUCCCCUGUGUGCCCUCAAACACAUCCCUCUGUGGCAAUUCAAACCAGUCCCCAAAUCCCCUCACCAGUCGUUCCCCAAGCUGGUCUUCAUAUGCUUUACCCAAGCAGCCCUCACAUAGUCCAACAGAGUGGCUCUCAUUUGCUCCCUGAAACAAGUCGCCAACGGCCUUUUCAUAGCAGUCUUCUCGUCUCUCCCGAUGUUCGUCCCAGUGUCCAUCCGCAGACCAGUUCCCAAAUUUACCCCCAUAGUAGUCCUCCCCGUCUUGAUCUCCAAAAAAGCUCCUACAGGCGUCUCCAGAUCAGGCCUGAUGUCAGUCCCCACACAAGUCCCGAUGUCAUGCCCCAUAGCAGCACCCAUACUGGUGUCCAAAUCCCCAUUAUUAAAAAGUCACAGACCUUUCCCUUCACUCCUGCGUCUACGAGACAAUCCUCUCUACCUGAAAGGACCUGUAGCACUGAUGGCCGUGCAAGCGUAAUUGUCAAUACUGUCGUGCAAUCGCAACUAUGACGCCUCAGUAAAGACCAUCUUAUUAUGACCUGACGUAGAUGCUUUGCUGCUUCGGAAAAUCAGUGUGACCAUAGCUACCUUGGACAUCGCCUCCUGUCUUCAUGAACAAAGAGCACCAAAGACUUCACAGCAAUAUUGGUCUUGUUUGGAGAAUGCCUUGAUGACUACUUUUUUCUAAGACAAAAAGUGUAUUUUAUUUUUAUAUAGAGAAUAGGGUAUCAAUGAGUUUUUUUUUUUUUUCUUUCAAAUCGGUUUACAUGCACACUAAUUUAGUAACAUUGAUGAUGUCACACGAGGACACUAUCUGAGCUGUGUUUAUUUAUUUCACUGUUUGAGUUCAUAUUUUCAAUAUUUGGGUGUAAUGGGUCUUUGCGCCACCAGAGGGCAUCCAAAGUCUAUCAUCUCUGCAUAAUGUUCAACCAAUGGGGGUGUCCAAUGUGAUCUCUUUUUUUUUUUUGAAGAGGGAGGGUAGUAAGAGUUGUUUUCUGUAUAUGACAGAAGGGUCGAAAAGUAAGACAUUGUGCUAGACUACUGCGACCUGCAGUUGGAGGAAGGAAGAGGUGAUGGUAACUGAAGAUAUGCCAGCAUAUGCCAGAUGAUUUCUUGGGAAGAGUGGACAUAAGCUAACGAC
Molecule: RNA transcript, 4228 nt
Organism: Alosa alosa (allis shad)
Lineage: Eukaryota; Metazoa; Chordata; Actinopteri; Clupeiformes; Clupeidae
Gene name: interferon regulatory factor 2-like
Exons: 10
Source: RefSeq, a predicted model, not a curated record